This 598-nucleotide ribosomal RNA is filed under the name uncultured bacterium. RNAcentral describes it as "bacterial SSU rRNA". It matches the Rfam family "Bacterial small subunit ribosomal RNA", at positions 62 to 650 of the family's 1533-position model. The record is from RNAcentral.
UCGAACGGCAGCGCGGAGAGCUUGCUCUCUGGCGGCGAGUGGCGGACGGGUGAGUAAUGCAUAGGAAUCUGCCCAGUAGCGGGGGACAACCUGGGGAAACUCAGGCUAAUACCGCAUACGCCCUACGGGGGAAAGCGGGGGACCUUCGGGCCUCGCACUAUUGGAUGAGCCUAUGUCAGAUUAGCUUGUUGGUGGGGUAACGGCCUACCAAGGCGACGAUCUGUAGCUGGUCUGAGAGGACGAUCAGCCACACUGGGACUGAGACACGGCCCAGACUCCUACGGGAGGCAGCAGUGGGGAAUAUUGCACAAUGGGCGAAAGCCUGAUGCAGCAAUGCCGCGUGUGUGAAGAAGGCCUGCGGGUUGUAAAGCACUUUCAGUAGGGAGGAAACAGUAACGGAACAAUACCCGUUACCUUGACGUUACCUACAGAAGAAGCACCGGCUAACUCUGUGCCAGCAGCCGCGGUAAUACAGAGGGUGCAAGCGUUAAUCGGAAUUACUGGGCGUAAAGCGCGCGUAGGCGGCUUGGUCAGUCGGAUGUGAAAGCCCCGGGCUUAACCUGGGGAAUUGCAUUCGAUACUGCCAGGCUAGAAUGUA